Molecule: ribosomal RNA, 465 nt
Filed under: uncultured bacterium
Lineage: Bacteria
Description: partial 16S ribosomal RNA
Rfam family: Bacterial small subunit ribosomal RNA
Source: RNAcentral
GACGAACGCUGGCGGCGUGCUUAACACAUGCAAGUCGAACGCUGAACCCGCUUCGGUGGGGGAUGAGUGGCGAACGGGUGAGUAACACGUGGGCAACCUGCCCCCGGCUCUGGGAUAACUCCAAGAAAUUGGGGCUAAUACCGGAUGUGACCGCUGGCCGCAUGGUCUGGUGGUGGAAAGGGUUUCCGGCUGGGGAUGGGCCCGCGGCCUAUCAGCUUGUUGGGGGGGUAGUGGCCUACCAAGGCGACGACGGGUAGCCGGCCUGAGAGGGUGACCGGCCACACUGGGACUGCGACACGGCCCAGACUCCUACGGGAGGCAGCAGUGGGGAAUAUUCCGCAAUGGGCGGAAGCCUGACGCAGCGUCGCCGCGUGGGGGAUGACGGCCUUCGGGUUGUAACCCUCUUUCAGCAGGGACGAAGCGCAAGUGACGGUACCUGCAGAAGAAGCACCGGCCAACUACGUG